RNAcentral lists this transfer RNA (73 nucleotides) under Mus musculus (house mouse). It matches the Rfam family "tRNA". From Rfam's summary of the family: Transfer RNA (tRNA) molecules are approximately 80 nucleotides in length. Their secondary structure includes four short double-helical elements and three loops (D, anti-codon, and T loops). Lineage: Eukaryota; Metazoa; Chordata; Mammalia; Rodentia; Muridae. The record is from Rfam by way of RNAcentral.
ACCCAGCUAGUUCAGUCGGUAGAGCAUGAGACUCUUAAUCUUAGAGUCGAGGGCUCAGGUCCCAUGUUGGGUU